Molecule: ribosomal RNA, 492 nt
Filed under: uncultured bacterium
Lineage: Bacteria
Description: partial 16S ribosomal RNA
Rfam family: Bacterial small subunit ribosomal RNA
Source: RNAcentral
AGUGAACGCUGGCGGUAGGCCUAACACAUGCAAGUCGAACGGCAGCACAGUAAGAGCUUGCUCUUACGGGUGGCGAGUGGCGGACGGGUGAGGAAUACAUCGGAAUCUACUUUUUCGUGGGGGAUAACGUAGGGAAACUUACGCUAAUACCGCAUACGACCUACGGGUGAAAGCAGGGGAUCUUCGGACCUUGCGCGAUUGAAUGAGCCGAUGUCGGAUUGGCUAGUUGGCGGGGUAAGGGCCCACCAAGGCGACGAUCCGUAGCUGGUCUGAGAGGAUGAUCAGCCACACUGGAACUGAGACACGGUCCAGACUCCUACGGGAGGCAGCAGUGGGGAAUAUUGGACAAUGGGCGCAAGCCUGAUCCAGCCAUACCGCGUGGGUGAAGAAGGCCUUCGGGUUGUAAAGCCCUUUUGUUGGGAAAGAAAAGCAGCAGGUUAAUACCCCGCUGUUCUGACGGUACCCAAAGAAUAAGCACCGGCUAACUUCGUG